AUUGAACGCUGGCGGCAGGCCUAACACAUGCAAGUCGAACGAGUGGCGGCCGGGUGAGUCAUGUCUGGGAAACUGCCUGAUGGAGGGGGCUAACUACUGGAAACGGUAGCUAAUACCGCAUACCAUCGGAUGUGCCCAGAUGGGAUUAGCUAGUAGGUGGGGUAACGGCUCACCUAGGCGACGAUCCCUAGCUGGUCUGAGAGGAUGACAAGCAAAACUGGAACUGAGAAACGGUCCAGACUACUACGGGAGGCAGAAGUGGGGAAGAUUGCAAAAUGGGCGAAAGCCUGAUGCAGACAUGCCGCGUGUAUGAAGAAGGCCUUCGGGUUGUAAAGUACUGUCAGCGGGGAGGCGUUACCCGCAGAAGAAGCACCGGCUAACUCCGUGCCAGCAGCCGCGGUAAUAC
RNAcentral lists this ribosomal RNA (406 nucleotides) under uncultured bacterium. RNAcentral describes it as "partial 16S ribosomal RNA". It matches the Rfam family "Bacterial small subunit ribosomal RNA", at positions 30 to 526 of the family's 1533-position model. The record is from RNAcentral.